UCAAUUUUUUGUAUAGAUAGAUACUUAUGUUGAUUAUUACAAUUUUAAUGAAUUCACUUCAAAAACUACAGAACACAAGAAAGGGACAGAUACCGUAGUUGAAUCAUUACAAGUGUCUAUCCUUUGGGAGUGUCUGCAAUUAAAAAAUCUAAUUUAUCAACAUUGUAGUACAAUGAACGGCACAUAUUUGUUCUAAAUGAAAGUCAGUUCUUCUUGGCUUCUGUUUUCUCUCUUCUGGUUACUGCUUGGAAGUCAUUCAUGCGCAAAAUUUGACAACCACUUGACAAAGGCACAACAUAUUUACAUGGGAUUGUAUUAACUUUCAGGGUUUUGAUGAUAUGGGUGGUACUUUAACUUACAGUACAAUAUUAUGAGACAUGGAACGGAAGUUUUGAGAAAGCUGUGAAGCAAAGGUUGACGUGAUACUUACAAGUCAUGGCAUUCUGAAGUGACAUGGAUCAACUAUGUACACAAUAUACAUAUACAUAUAUACAUAUACAUAUAUACAUAUACACAUAUGUAUAGAUAGUUAUAUACGGUGGUCAAAGUUAGGUACCAAGAGAUAAAGUGGUGUGAAGUGCCAUUAGUGCCAAGUGCCAACAUCAUGCUUUUACGGCGUUGGUUGGAAUCUCGCAGCAACCCCAAAGGUCUUCUCCUCAACCCCAACUAGACCCAAGCUGCAUCACGCAAUUGCAUUAUUGUCAGAGCAGAGUAACCUACACAGAAACUAAAGAGUGUCUUCAUUCCUUUUUCUUCAAUCAAUGUAAGUUGAACACAACGGAUGAUUGCGUUUUGCGAAUCGUCUGUAUGUGUGGAGUAGAAUACUCUGGAGAUUAGGAAUGCAUGGGACACAGUUGCAUGCUCUUCUGCCAGGGAUGAUCUCUGGAGUCUGAAACUGAG
This 900-nucleotide long non-coding RNA is filed under the name Physcomitrium patens. RNAcentral describes it as "long non-coding RNA (PPAT_LNC013607)". The record is from RNAcentral. Lineage: Eukaryota; Viridiplantae; Streptophyta; Bryopsida; Funariales; Funariaceae.